This 23-nucleotide microRNA is filed under the name Monodelphis domestica (gray short-tailed opossum). RNAcentral describes it as "Mdo-Mir-1549_3p (mature (guide))". Lineage: Eukaryota; Metazoa; Chordata; Mammalia; Didelphimorphia; Didelphidae. The record is from RNAcentral.
UUCCGCCCUGCAAGCCCGGUAGC